UCUUGGAUAAAAAUCUUGUGAUAUUUCCUUGUUGGAUUUAAAAACUUGAACAAGAACUUGAUGAACAAAGCACUUGAGCUUCUUCCUCUCUCUAGAAUACUCUUCCUUCUCUCUAAAAAUGUCAGAUUUUUGCUCCAAAAUGAGUCUUAAAACCUAUUUAUCAAAAUGGGAUCUGGUUAUGAAAAUAGAAAAAUUAACCCUCCGAAAGCAGGUCUGCGGUCGCAUAAUGGACCACAGAAUGGGUAUGCAAGCCGCAAAGUUGAUCGCAAAAUCAGUGCCCAGAACUGGGCUCUUCUGGUCCAUUCUGCGACCAGUUUACGGUCGCAGAAGCAGUUUUGCGAUCGCAUAACUAUUUUGCGAUCGCAGAAUUGUAUUUUUCCAGCCUUUGAUAAUUUAGUCAUAACUUUUUGUAAGAAUGUCCAAAUGACAAACGGUCUGAAAAGUUAGAAACUAGACUCAAAGAUAUUUCAUUUGAUAGGUAAUACACCAUAUAAAACUUUGUAUCAUGAGAGUUAUGCUCAUUUGAAGUUGGGUCUUGUGCGAACUCACUUGAACUUUAGUCUAUUAUGAAAUUUCCAACUUCUACAUUCGAUGUCGAAAUUACCGAAUUAAGUCCGAUAGACCUCAAAUUUUGCACACAAGUCAUAAAUGAUAUAACGAACCUAUUCCAAUUUUCGGAAUCAGAUUCCGACCCCGAUAUCAAAAAAUAACCCCCGGUCAAACUUUCCAAAAAUUCAACUUUCGUCAUUUCAAGCCUAAUUCUACUACGGACCUCCAAAAAAAUUUUCGGACACGCUCCUAAGUCCAUAAUCAUCAUACGGAGCUAUUGGAAUCAUUAAAACUCUAUUCCGGGGUCGUUUACACAUAAGUCAACAUCCGAUCAACUAUUUCAACUUAAACUUCCAACAUGAAAUUCAUUCUUCCAAGCUAACUCCGAAAUACCUUAAAACCAAAACCGACAAUUCACACAAGUCAUAAUACCUCGUAGGAAGUUAUGCAAGAUCUCAAAUAGUUGAAAGGAGCGUAAAUGCUCAAAAUGACCGGUCGGGUCGUUACACACCAUAUCAUCCACUGCCUCUGUUUCCUUAAGAUUCUUAGAGGCUUAACAACUACAAUUAAUGGAAUAUGCUAUUCAUUUUCCUAAUGCUACAUAAAUAGCCUCUUUCUCACCAUAAGUUGAGAAAUCGAGUUCAUUUGCAGUGUACAUAAAAAUAAAGCUAUGUGACUAUUAUGUUUACUUCAAAUGUGCAAGAAUGAAUAUCUUUCAACAUACAAUUGAAGUGCUUAACAAGAGUAGUAUGACAAGAUUUAAUUCGAACUAGGUUCGGUACUUUUCGCCCAGAUCCGGUAAAUCCAGUAGGUGUUGCUCUAUUCUUUCAUUCUUUUAAGGUUUGUUUCUCUGCACCCAGAGUAAUUAAAACACCAGCAUUUAACAUUAAAUCUAGCUUUAGAUAAUGCUCCAAGGAAUAUAUUCAAUUAUCCCCCAAAUAUUUUUUAAAAGGAAUACUUCAAGAAAGGGAGUAAUCUAGUCUAACAAAAUUGACCAAUCUAUGUAGACCAAACGAAAAAUAAACUUUAAUUCUGAAUACAAGAUAUAAAAAGCACUAAAAGCAAAUGCACUAACCAAUAAGAAAAACUCUGCACCCAUGAGAAGCCGUGGACAAAAUAGCCGACUAACGACAGAAAUCAGUGGUGGGUGAACUAAAUCAUCACUUUGAUUGAGGAAAUCAGCAAGAAAAUGGCAAUGGAAAACCAGAAAUAGAAAGAAAUCGCCACUUUGAUAGAAAAUGGCG
Molecule: long non-coding RNA, 1793 nt
Filed under: Nicotiana tabacum (common tobacco)
Lineage: Eukaryota; Viridiplantae; Streptophyta; Magnoliopsida; Solanales; Solanaceae
Description: long non-coding RNA (NTAB_LNC002290)
Source: RNAcentral